CAUUAACUACAUGUGGCCACUGGGCACUUGAAACAUGGAGAGCUCAUGUGCCCACAUCAUUUCACUCAAAGAAGGAAAGCAGAGUGGGCUAGUGAGGAAGCACCACUGCCUUUAACCCAACAUUUAACCUCUUGGUGGCUCAUUGUUCUGUAAAAGCUACACAUCUGCAAGAGGACAGAUUUUCUUCAUACAUUUCAACCAAAACAAUAUACAGCAACAGAAUGAAUGCAGAAGCAGUUCUCCAUGACUUAGGUUCCUCCACUGAGAAAUGGAGUGAAGACUAAUAGCUACCUAAAAGGGUCAUCGUGACAAUUAAAUGAGUUCAUAUGUGCAUAUAAAGACUGGACACAGAAUCUUAUACAGAGAAAACACUCAUAACAGGCUCUCCAAGGAAAAAGAAGGAAUCCACUGCUGACGACACUCAGUCCUCUCAGGGUUGCUGACAUCCCACAAAACAACUGGACCCCAGCCUCCAUGACACCUGGACGUGCAAAGAGAAGGACUGAGCGAACUAUAGAGCUGCUGCAUCUUUUAAA
This is a non-coding RNA of Callorhinus ursinus (northern fur seal), 536 nucleotides long. The record is from RefSeq and is a predicted model, not a curated record. Lineage: Eukaryota; Metazoa; Chordata; Mammalia; Carnivora; Otariidae.